CUACGUGCCAGCAGCCGCGGUAAUACGUAGGUGGCAAGCGUUGUCCGGAAUUAUUGGGCGUAAAGCGCGCGCAGGCGGAUCUGUCAGUCUGUCUUAAAAGUUCGGGGCUCAACCCCGUGAUGGGAUGGAAACUGCCAAUCUAGAGUAUCGGAGAGGAAAGUGGAAUUCCUAGUGUAGCGGUGAAAUGCGUAGAUAUUAGGAAGAACACCAGUGGCGAAGGCGACUUUCUGGACGAAAACUGACGCUGAGGCGCGAAAGCCAGGGGAGCGAACGGGAUUAGAUACCCCGGUAGUCCUGGCCGUAAACGAUGGGUACUAGGUGUAGGAGGUAUCGACCCCUUCUGUGCCGGAGUUAACGCAAUAAGUACCCCGCCUGGGGAGUACGACCGCAAGGUUGAAACUCAAAGGAAUUGACGGGGGCCCGCACAAGCGGUGGAGUAUGUGGUUUAAUUCGACGCAACGCGAAGAACCUUACCAGGUCUUGACAU
This 487-nucleotide ribosomal RNA is filed under the name uncultured bacterium. Its description in RNAcentral is "bacterial SSU rRNA". It matches the Rfam family "Bacterial small subunit ribosomal RNA", at positions 501 to 987 of the family's 1533-position model. The record is from RNAcentral.